Thunnus maccoyii (southern bluefin tuna) is the source of this 2448-nucleotide RNA transcript. It is a transcript of the gene named CDP-diacylglycerol--glycerol-3-phosphate 3-phosphatidyltransferase, mitochondrial, with no coding region annotated. NCBI's taxonomy places the organism in Eukaryota, Metazoa, Chordata, Actinopteri, Scombriformes, Scombridae. The transcript has 12 exons. The record is from RefSeq and is a predicted model, not a curated record.
AGUUUAUUCAAAGUCGCAGAGACGUUGCUGCAGCAAUGGCGGCCCCAGUGUCCUGGAGGAGGCUGGUGUACUCCGUGUACACACCGGCCAUUGCCGGGGUUUUCACCCGAAUAUCUGACCGACUCUUCCGUGCCCGGGACAGGAGAGGCGGGUCCUCCGUGCUGCUGCUGGCUCCCUUACUGGCCGAAGCCGACCCGGCCCCCCGACGCGUCUCCAGGCCCGCCGGGUCAGCCGGAGCUCAGGGCACAGACGGCCUCUGCACCCACUUCCGAUGGAUGGCGGAACACGUACCCGCUUUCCGGGUGCCGGGCACCCACAUCCACAUUCUCACCUCACCGGACCAGUUCUACCAGACCAUGAAGGCACGUAUCAAGACGGCGAAGAGGCGAGUGGUGUUGGCCUCGCUGUAUCUGGGAACAGGUCAACUGGAGCAGGACCUGGUGGACUGUAUGGAAGAAGCUCUACAACUCUCACAGGAAAACAGUCACGCUCCCAAUCUAAAAGUCUCCGUUUUGCUGGACUACACACGCGGCUCACGAGGGCAGGUUAACUCGAGGACCAUGCUGCUGCCACUGUUGCAGCGCUUCUCCUCACAGAUGCGGGUGUCUUUGUACCACACUCCGGACCUGAGGGGGCUGCUGAGGCUGCUGGUCCCUCAGCGCUUCAACGAGACUAUCGGAGUCCAGCAUAUCAAAGUUUACCUCUUUGACGACAGCAUUAUCAUCAGCGGGGCCAACCUGAGCGACUCGUACUUCACCAACAGACAGGACCGCUACGUGCUGCUGGAGAACUGCAGGGAGGUCGCCGACUUCUUCUCCGAGCUGGUGGAGGCUGUGGGAGACGUUUCCCUGCAGCUUCAGCCCGAUGACUCAGUCAGCAUGCUGGAGGGCAUGGUACACCCAUACAAAGGCGACCGGCAGGACUUCUCGGCCGUGGCCAGGAAGCGGAUCAUGGAGGUCGUGAACACAGCCCACGUGCGGCAGCAGCUGCUGAACCGGUCCGAGGACUCGGAGGACGAGGGGAUGAGCGAGGGGGAGGAGGACACCUGGGUGUUCCCGCUGGUCCAGAUGAAGCCUCUGGGAAUCCAGGUGGACGAGCAGGUCACACAGCGCCUGCUGACAGACGCGGAGCCGGACUCCACUGUGUUUCUAACGUCGGGUUACUUCAACCUGACCCGGGCGUACAUGCGGCUGGUGCUCGGGGCCGGACCCAGCUACCGCAUCCUCACAGCCUCCCCGGAGGUCAACGGGUUCUUCGGAGCCAAGGGUGUCGCCGGGGCGAUCCCCGCGGCUUACAUCCACAUCGCCAGACAGUUCUACAACCAAGUGUGCCAGCUGGGUCAGCAGGAGAGAGUUCACCUGCACGAGUACCACAGACAGCAGUGGACCUUCCACGCCAAAGGUCUGUGGUAUUACCUCCAGGGGCAGGAUCGGCCUUGCCUCACUCUAAUUGGCUCCCCUAAUUUUGGUUACCGCUCGGUUCACCGUGACCUGGAGGCCCAAAUCGCCAUAGUAACGGAGAAUGAGGAGUUGCAGAGCCAGCUGCAGGAGGAGCAGGAGAUGUUGUACCGGCGCUCCACAGAGGUGUCCAGCUCCACGUUUGAGCGGCCGGACCGCCACGUCAAGCUGUGGGUGAAGCUGGUCACUCCUCUCAUCAAGAAUUUCUUCUGAGGUGCCAUCAGAAUAUUUAAAGGCGCUGACUGCAGGGUGACAGUAAAAGACAUUAAAACAUCAACAAAUGUCAAAGGAAGGAAAAAAAGGAAGACGAUUAACCGAAGGGAAACCUGUGAAGACCACAGCUGAAGAUGGAGACAAACAGGAAGCAGGCGGCUUCGGUCUCGUCGGUCCUGAGGUUGAAGGUCUCGGUCGACUCCUGCAGACGGGACGGUCGGACACGCUCGAGUAUCUCCGGCGUGCCGAGAGUCGACAUCUUCGGCUUCACCUCGGCUUAAACUCUCAUCAGUGUGUCCCAGGAAGUGACUCACACACAUACACACACACACACACAGACACACACACACAGACACACACACAGGAGCAGAUGUAUGUGGUGAAUUCACCUGUGGUUUACCUGUGUUUCCGUUAGAUCAUUUAAAUGUUAACACCUGACGUCAUCACACUGUGAAUUUCUGGGUUUGUAGCUACAAACGUUUUAAAAGAAGAAAAAACAAAACAACCCUACUUCUACUUCUACUGUACGUACAUCUGCACACGUACAUGUUGCAUGUGUAAGAAAGCAAUAGAGACUCGAUGAGUGACGGAGGGUGUGAUGCUAAACGGACGGGUGUGGUGAAUCAUUACGAUCCCUCGACGAGCCUUAAUAACAGUUUUUAAGAGCUCUUACAGUGUUUACAGCUCUGCCGACAGCUGUAAUCAAAGCGAACUGUACAGUGUCUUUGUGUUAUUAUUAUCUUUGUAAAUUAAAGGACGACGUGAGUUUUUAAAAUGA